RNAcentral lists this ribosomal RNA (722 nucleotides) under uncultured Methanosarcinales archaeon. RNAcentral describes it as "bacterial SSU rRNA". It matches the Rfam family "Archaeal small subunit ribosomal RNA", at positions 118 to 841 of the family's 1478-position model. Lineage: Archaea; Methanobacteriati; Methanobacteriota; Methanomicrobia; Methanosarcinales. The record is from RNAcentral.
GGUUUGGGAUACCCCGGGAAACUGGGGAUAAUACCAAAUGUUUCAAGGUUGCUGGAAUGCUCUUUGAUUGAAAGCUUCGGUGCCUGAGGAUGAGUCUGCGGCCUAUCAGGUUGUAGUGGGUGUAAUGUACCUACUAGCCAGCGACGGGUACGGGUUGUGAGAGCAAGAGCCCGGAGAUGGAUUCUGAGACAUGAAUCCAGGCCCUACGGGAUGCAGCAGGCGCGAAACCUUUAUAAUGCGCGAAAGCGCGAUAAGGAGACCCUGAGUGCUAGCACAUAGUGCUGGCUGUCCAGCUGUUUAAAAAGCAGUUGUUAGCAAGGGCCGGGCAAGACCGGUGCCAGCCGCCGCGGUAACACCGGCGGCCCGAGUGGUAACCGAUUUUAUUGGGCUUAAAGCGUUCGUAGCCGGUUUAGUAAGUUUCUUAGGAAAUCUAGCAGCUUAACUGUUAGACGUCUAAGAGAUACUGCUAUGACUUGGGACCGGGAGAGGUAGGAGGUACUCCAAGGGUAGGGGUGAAAUCUUGUAAUCCCUGGGGGACCAUCGAUGGCGAAGGCAUCCUACCAGAACGGGUUCGACGGUGAGGGACGAAAGCUGGGGGCACAAACCGGAUUAGAUACCCGGGUAGUCCCAGCUGUAAACGAUGCUCGCUAGGUGUCAGAUACGGUGCGUCCGUAUUUGGUGCCGUAGGGAAACCGUGAAGCGAGCCGCCUGGGAAGUACGGU